Molecule: ribosomal RNA, 834 nt
Filed under: Haptophyta environmental samples
Lineage: Eukaryota; Haptophyta
Description: bacterial SSU rRNA
Rfam family: Bacterial small subunit ribosomal RNA
Source: RNAcentral
GAGGAAUAAGCAUCGGCUAACUCCGUGCCAGCAGCCGCGGUAAUACGGGGGAUGCAAGCGUUAUCCGGAAUCAUUGGGCGUAAAGCGCCUGUAGGUGGUUUGCUAAGUCUGUUGUUAAAGACUAGGGCUUAACCCUAGAAAAGCAAUGGAAACUUGUAGACUAGAGUAUGGCAGGGGUAGAGGGAAUUUCUAGUGUAGCGGUGAAAUGCGUAGAUAUUAGAAAGAACACCAGUGGCGAAAGCGCUCUACUGGACCAUUACUGACACUCAGAGGCGAAGGCUAGGGUAGCAAAAGGGAUUAGAUACCCCUGUAGUCCUAGCCGUAAACGAUGGAUACUAGAUGUUGUGCAUAGUACAGUAUCGUAGCUAACGCGUUAAGUAUCCCGCCUGGGGAGUACGCUCGCAAGGGUGAAACUCAAAGGAAUUGACGGGGGCCCGCACAAGCGGUGGAGCAUGUGGUUUAAUUCGAUGCAACGCGAAGAACCUUACCAGGGCUUGACAUACUACAAAUUCUUUUGAAAAAGAGAAGUGCCUUCGGGAAUGUAGAUACAGGUGGUGCAUGGCUGUCGUCAGCUCGUGUCGUGAGAUGUUGGGUUAAGUCCCGCAACGAGCGCAACCCUUAUUUUUAGUUACCAAUUCGUUGGAUUUUUUAGAAAGACUGCCGGUGACAAACCGGAGGAAGGUGAGGAUGACGUCAAGUCAGCAUGCCCCUUAUGUCCUGGGCUACACACGUGCUACAAUGGUUAAGACAAAGAGUCGCAAACUCGUGAGGGUAAGCUAAUCUAUUAAACUUAGCCUAAGUUCAGAUUGUAGGCUGCAACUCGCCUGCAUGAAG